UACGGGGGGGGCAAGCGUUGUUCGGAAUUACUGGGCGUAAAGGGCUCGUAGGCGGCCAACUAAGUCGGAUGUGAAAUCCCCAGGCUUAACCUGGGAACUGCAUCCGAUACUGGAUGGCUUGAAUCCGGGAGAGGGAUGCGGAAUUCCAGGUGUAGCGUGAAUGACGUAGAUAUCUGGAGGAACACCGGUGGCGAAGGCGGCAUCCUGGACCGGCAUUGACGCUGAGGAGCGAAAGCCAGGGGAGCAAACGGG
This 252-nucleotide ribosomal RNA is filed under the name uncultured bacterium. RNAcentral describes it as "partial 16S ribosomal RNA". It matches the Rfam family "Bacterial small subunit ribosomal RNA", at positions 524 to 776 of the family's 1533-position model. The record is from RNAcentral.